UUAACAUCGGUUUUGUAUUGAAAACCGAUGUUGGGUUUACAUUUAAAAAUAUUAGAACGUGAGCCCUAUUUUGCUCGCGCUCUCUUCUUCUUUGUUUAAGCUUCUUCUUCGCGACUGUAUCUCUCUGUCUUUGCAACCUUAUCGAGACGUUGAGAACUUGCCACCUUUCGUGACUCUGUCUCAGGUACUUUUCGAGACAAUGUCUCUUGUCUUUAACAUAUUGUAAUUUUUAUUAUGAAUGUAGCAAACAAUGCCCUAGUGAGAGGGACUAACGCUAGCUAGAUUGGGUUGUGUUGUUGAGCCUGCAGAUUUUAUGCAUGUUUAUAGCACGAAAGCAUACUACAGAAAACAUCAAGAGAUUGAUUUAUUUGGGGAAAUUUCGGGGGUUUCUUUGAGCCCUGAUGAUGAGUGUAUGUAUAUUGGAAUGUGGGAUCGAACUUAUGCAAGCUUGCUUUAGUAUAAUAGGAAGCACCAAUAUAAAUAUCUUGAUGCCUACUAUUGAUAUAUAGCAUUGAACAUACAUUAAACUAGUUAGAGAGAAUAAAAAUUGCUGAUAAUAGUACACUCCAUAGGUAGUCAUGAUGCGUAAACCACUACUGCAAGAAAGCACUUUAAAUUAUAGUAUUAGCUAGUAAUUUCUGUGGUUGUCUUGAUCAUGCUUGGCCUCACAUGACUGACAGGUGGCGAAUCCAUCUGCCUAUAUAGACCCUUCCCCAUAACUUCCUUUUUUACUACUUCUUAAGAAAAUUUCUAAUAGGAAACAGUAGAAGAAAAUUACCAUGAGACUUCCAUGGCUGAGAAUGAAGGGUCAGUUAAAGAGAGUUAUUGUGUUAAAUGUGUUUAAAAUGUAUGAGUUAUUAUUCACUUCAUAUCAACUUGUAUAAUGAGAGUCUAGAACAGACCAUUGCAGUGAAAAUUUCUCUGGACACAAAUGAUUUUGGGGUUUGAAUAAAGUGCGAAGUUGCAUGGAAGAGGCAGUCCAUGCCAACUUUCGUAGCCGAGAAGGGGCAAAACAAUAGUCCCUUUGACCCUGUGUAUUCUGUUGGUGGCAGUUUGACACAAAAAAAAGGACAAUCUCCCUUGAUGUUGUUGCAUAUAAAAAUAAACAUUUACACCUAUAUCAAAUUCAUUUAGAUUUCUAAGUUCAUCAAAUGCCUUUUAUCUCAUUUUUCCCAUCAAUUAUAUCUUUCUAGUCAUCAUAGGGGAUGAAGUGUUACUAUAUUAUACCACUCUAGCUGUUAACACUACAAUUUCAUGAAACUUGGAUUGUAGCAACACCUAAUUCUAGUUCCAAUUUCAAUUAUGAUUAAUUAAUAAAUUAAUUAGAAGAUAAGUUUAAGAAGGAUUAAUCUGUUAUUAACAAUGAUAGUAUUGUAUGCAAUUGAAUUGUAGAAAGGAGUGGAAUGAUACCUGGCAUGGCUUUGGCUCUUAUGCACUGACAUAUAGACUGCCAUGGCUUUGGCUCUUAUUCGACUAGGAAAGAAUUUUGGUAGAAGGAGACCUGGAACUGGGCCAGCCCCAAGAGCAAAUGUUAAGACAAACCUGCAUGAAAUAAGUAUAAAUUAAGUGUUCAUAUGCCAGCUAUAUUCAUAGAAUCAUAGUUGCAUACUCACAGUAACAUGGCACCAACAUAAAAGUACUAAGCUUCCACAUUUGAUACAAGUGAAGUUGCUCCUGUGGCUUGAAGGAUCAAUGUUAUUUUCAUUCUCAUGCAUCUUCUUGUUGUAAUUAUAAUGUUGUAAUGGUCUCUUAAUAAAUGGGGAAUGAUUGUUUGUUUCGUUCUCCGUUUGGUUUUUCAACUCUAGGGCUGGUUAAAGAUGAACAACUUUAUUUUAUUUACUUUUUUUUUAAUUUGAUGCAUAAUAAAUGAGUGAAACUGGAACUUGGGUUUUGCACUUUCAAUUCUCAUUUCAUUAUACUUAUUAUUAUUAAGAGCUUGGAUAGGAUUGAUGUGAAACGGGAUUUUGUUGCAAGUUUGUAGGCCUUGUAACUACUCUUUCCAUUUUGUGUGCAGUUCAAGUUUGAAAGCAGUUUAUCUUUCGUUCUUGCAUUUGUGGUGUUUUGUGUCUUCUUGUGUAAUUAAAUGAUAGUUAUUUCUUUAUCGCAAGAGCCUUGCCUGUUGUCCCAUAUACAAAUUUAUAACAAGUCUGUGCUUGAGUGGGAAAUCGUGGUUGGCUUACAUUACAAGGUUGGUGGCUGAAAGUUGUCAACCAAUUAUCAUUGGCAAUUCAUGUUCUUUUUGUCAUGUGUUUUUAUUAAGCUUGUGUGUGUGUCAACUGUCAAAUCCUUUAGGGUCCAUUUUUUUAGCUAGUCAAUGUUUUAUUAAGAAGGAAAGUAUAUAUAUGGUAUGCGUGCAUGUAGCCAACAUUUUUUUAGGUUUGAUUGUUUUUGAAAAAAAUGCCAAUAUAUAGUCCAAUGACCAAACAAAUUAACCAGUAGGUACAACAAAAAAUUGAUAUUUGAAAUUUAGGAUAUGAUACGACCUAGAUACGUUAACAAUAAUUGAUAAAACAUUUUAUAUGUUAGGAAAUGUAGCAGCUGGUUCACAACAACAACAAAAAGGAGUGAUGAGUGAUGCAUUAAGAAAUAGAAUGAUGUUUGGGGCUAGGAAUGGCUACAACCUAGCUAGGGAGGGUAAUGUAGUAGGAUUUGAGCAAAGAAACAAGUGAUGGGGCCUAUGUGGUGUGAGUGAGUUGAGUGCUCAUGAGUUUGGAGUUUUCUGUGUUGGCAUGGCGGAAAGGCACUAUUGUGUUCGUUGCUUGCCCACAUGGUCAUCAUAAAUGUCAACUGCUUCUAAGUUUUGGUUUCUCACCAAAUGAUUUUUUUUCUUUGUCAAAUAAAUUUAAUAUGGAGUAUAAACAUUGUUAAUCUAGUUUUAGUGCCUAUUACAGUGGUAUUAUCAAGAUGUACUUUGUAUGAAAUUGUUUUUGAAGUAUGUUAUUUAUACAUAGGGUGAUAACUUGCUACUUUGAAUCAGAACAACACUAGGUCACUAACCUAUUUGUUCCAAAUUUCAAGCCUUAACAAUUAUAAUUUGUAUGUCAUAUGCACAUCUAGGGCUUGCAAACUCAGGAGUUACAAAUAAAAUAUUGAUUCCAAACCCACUUACAGUAGUAUGUUGUAAUUAACCCACUUAGAUUUAUAUUUUCUUUAUGUUGGAUUUGUUUAUUAUACUUGCUACUAAACACUCAAAAUUCAUAGUUUUUUAUAUGUGAUUGAAUUUUACUUGAUAUAUCAAAGUUUGUGUUAUAUCUCACUUAGCAUUGAAAUAUUUAAUUUGUAGGCACUAUUUUUCUAGUGGUUUGCAUCGUGAUCACGACGUUCGUUGUUGGACACUAUAUUGAUCAUCAUCACAAGUACAAAAGUUUUUCAUAAACUUUUGAUGCUUAUUUUUGCUACAAAUGUUUUCUGGAGGAAGCAAGUUGAUGGAGGUUAUGAAUAUCUAGAAAACAAGUUGAUGGAGGAGAAAAAAAAGAAAAAAGUGGAGGAAGCUGCUCAAUUCGGAAACACUAACACCGUGAUUGAUCCUCCAUCUCCCAUUAAACGACACGUGAAGUGGAAGAUGACCCGCACCAAAAAAACUGAACAAAUGACGUAUGAGACAACAAAGGAAAUUGCUAACAAGAUUGAUUUGUUGGAGGAGCAAGCCUCAUAGGGUUCCUUUGUCGGUCAUGGACGUCAGGAUGUACUGAUUGCUGCCAUUGGGCUACCAGAACACCUUGGUCGUGUGCGUGCUUUUGGAGCCAGUGUGACGAUCAAACAAUACUUUGGACCAGCUCCAAGGACCUCCUGCACGUCUUCGUGCAUGGCUCCCGAAGACCUAGAGCAGCUGACGCAAAAAAUCAGGGACUAGCUAGAGGAGUUGAUCACGAAAAAAGUGACUCGACAACUAAUGUUAUCCUUCAGCCAGAUGCAAUUCCAGUUUUAGUCCCCAGAUGCAAUCACAGGGACUUGCACUGCCUCCUAAGCCUGAGGUUGGUCCUUUAGUUGCUCGUGUUAGCACAAAGGAGAAUUGUGUUUAUUCCUCAGGGAAUGAUCCAGACACGGGUGAUCAUGAUGUAGAUGAUCUCCUAUAUUUGAUGACAUUGAUCAUCCCACAGCUUUUUCUUAAGCCGUUGUAGGUUAUGUGAGAUGUUAUCGUGUUUGGGGUGUUUAAUGACAAAUUCCCCUUGUACAUAAAACAUAAAGAUCUAUAUGAAAUAACACACAGUGGUCAAUGUCUUAACAUCUCUGUUUUACA
This is a long non-coding RNA of Glycine soja, 4240 nucleotides long. RefSeq lists it as uncharacterized. The transcript is spliced from 3 exons. The record is from RefSeq and is a predicted model, not a curated record. Lineage: Eukaryota; Viridiplantae; Streptophyta; Magnoliopsida; Fabales; Fabaceae.